Molecule: ribosomal RNA, 260 nt
Filed under: uncultured bacterium
Lineage: Bacteria
Description: partial 16S ribosomal RNA
Rfam family: Bacterial small subunit ribosomal RNA
Source: RNAcentral
UACGUAGGGUGCGAGCGUUAAUCGGAAUUACUGGGCGUAAAGCGUGCGCAGGCGGUCUGUUAAGACCGAUGUGAAAUCCCCGGGCUUAACCUGGGAACUGCAUUGGUGACUGGCAGGCUUUGAGUGUGGCAGAGGGAGGUAGAAUUCCACGUGUAGCAGUGAAAUGCGUAGAGAUGUGGAGGAAUACCGAUGGCGAAGGCAGCCUCCUGGGCCAACACUGACGCUCAUGCACGAAAGCGUGGGGAGCAAACAGGAUUGAG